UCGCCACGGUAAUACCAGCCCCGCGAGUGGUCGGGACUAUUAUUGGGCCUAAAGCGCCCGUAGCCGGCCUGGUGUGUCUCCCCCUAAAGCCUCGGGCUCAACCCGAGGAGUGGGGGAGAUACUACCAGGCUAGGGGGCGGGAGAGGCCGAGGGUACUCCCGGGGUAGGGCGAAAUCCAAUAAUCCCGGGAGGACCACCAGUGGCGAAGGC
This 210-nucleotide ribosomal RNA is filed under the name uncultured archaeon. RNAcentral's name for it is "partial 16S ribosomal RNA". It matches the Rfam family "Archaeal small subunit ribosomal RNA", at positions 462 to 673 of the family's 1478-position model. The record is from RNAcentral.